Molecule: ribosomal RNA, 258 nt
Filed under: uncultured bacterium
Lineage: Bacteria
Description: partial 16S ribosomal RNA
Rfam family: Bacterial small subunit ribosomal RNA
Source: RNAcentral
UACGGAGGGUGCAAGCGUUGUCCGGAAUCACUGGGUUUAAAGGGUACGUAGGCGGCGCGUUAAGUCAGUGGUCAAAUCCAACGGCCACGUGACUGCCAUUGAUACUGGCGCGCUUGAGUACCGCAGGGGCGAGGCGGAAUUUGUGGUGUAGCGGUGAAAUGCAUAGAUACCACAAGGAAUCCCAAAACGCGAAGGCAGCCUGCUGGGCGGUAACUGACGCUGAUGUACGAAAGCGUGGGGAUCAAACAGGAUUAGAAA